CCAAUAGCGUAUAUUAAAGUUGUUGCAGUUAAAAAGCUCGUAGUUGAAUUUCGGGAUCAAUUUGUUGGUCGUGCUUCGGUAUGUACUGGCAUUAUUGGUUUCUACCUUCUGAAGAACCGCGAUGUCAUUUAUUUGGUGUCGUGGGGAAUCAGGACUGUUACUUUGAAAAAAUUAGAGUGUUUAAAGCAGGCGCUCGCUUGAAUACAUUAGCAUGGAAUAAUGAAAUAGGACGUUUGAUUCUAUUUUGUUGGUUUCUAGGAUCGACGUAAUGAUUAAUAGGGAUAGUUGGGGGCAUUAGUAUUCAAUUGUCAGAGGUGAAAUUCUUGGAUUUAUUGAAGACUAACUACUGCGAAAGCAUUUGCCAAGGAUGUUUUCAUUAAUCAAGAACGAAAGUUAGGGGAUCGAAGACGAUCAGAUACCGUCGUAGUCUUAACCAUAAACUAUGCCGACUAGGGAUCGGAUGAUGUUAAUUUUUUAAUGACUCAUUCGGCGCCUUACG
Molecule: ribosomal RNA, 499 nt
Filed under: uncultured Glomeromycotina
Lineage: Eukaryota; Fungi; Glomeromycota
Description: partial small subunit ribosomal RNA
Rfam family: Eukaryotic small subunit ribosomal RNA
Source: RNAcentral